RNAcentral lists this ribosomal RNA (468 nucleotides) under uncultured bacterium. RNAcentral describes it as "partial 16S ribosomal RNA". It matches the Rfam family "Bacterial small subunit ribosomal RNA", at positions 28 to 507 of the family's 1533-position model. The record is from RNAcentral.
GACGAACGCUGGCGGCGUGCUUAACACAUGCAAGUCGAACGGAAAGGCCCUGCUUUUGUGGGGUGCUCGAGUGGCGAACGGGUGAGUAACACGUGAGUAACCUGCCCUUGACUUUGGGAUAACUUCAGGAAACUGGGGCUAAUACCGGAUAGGAGCUCCUGCUGCAUGGUGGGGGUUGGAAAGUUUCGGCGGUUGGGGAUGGACUCGCGGCUUAUCAGCUUGUUGGUGGGGUAGUGGCUUACCAAGGCUUUGACGGGUAGCCGGCCUGAGAGGGUGACCGGCGAGAUUGGGAAAGAAAGAGGGGCCGGAGGCGUACGGGAGGAAGCAGGGGGGAAGGGGGAACAGUGGGCGGAAGCGUGAUGCAGCAACGCCGCGUGCGGGAGGAGGGACGUCGGGUUGGAAAAAGCUGGCGCCGGUGAAGAAGCGUGAGUGACGGGAAUGGGUAAAGAAGCACCGGCUAAAUACGUG